RNAcentral lists this ribosomal RNA (483 nucleotides) under uncultured bacterium. RNAcentral's name for it is "partial 16S ribosomal RNA". It matches the Rfam family "Bacterial small subunit ribosomal RNA", at positions 30 to 507 of the family's 1533-position model. The record is from RNAcentral.
UUGAACGCUGGCGGCAGGCCUCACACAUGCAAGUCGAGCGGAUGAAGGGAGCUUGCUCCUGGAUUCAGCGGCGGACGGGUGAGUAAUGCCUAGGAAUCUGCCUGGUAGUGGGGGAUAACGUCCGGAAACGGGCGCUAAUACCGCAUACGUCCUGAGGGAGAAAGUGGGGGAUCUUCGGACCUCACGCUAUCAGAUGAGCCUAGGUCGGAUUAGCUAGUUGGUGGGGUAAAGGCCUACCAAGGCGACGAUCCGUAACUGGUCUGAGAGGAUGAUCAGUCACACUGGAACUGGGACACGGUCCAGACUCCUACGGGAGGCAGCAGUGGGGAAUAUUGGACAAUGGGCGAAAGCCUGAUCCAGCCAUGCCGCGUGUGUGAAGAAGGUCUUCGGAUUGUAAAGCACUUUAAGUUGGGAGGAAGGGCAGUAAGUUAAUACCUUGCUGUUUUGACGUUACCAACAGAAUAAGCACCGGCUAACUUCGUG